This 9074-nucleotide long non-coding RNA is filed under the name Gallus gallus (chicken). Its description in RNAcentral is "lncRNA (ENSGALG00010018463.1)". Lineage: Eukaryota; Metazoa; Chordata; Aves; Galliformes; Phasianidae. The record is from RNAcentral.
GUUUUGUUCUUGGUUGCUUAAUAGGCCCAGGGACAAAUCCUUUGAGGAAGGAAAAGCAACUCUGAGGCUAUAAUUGAGCCCCAGGAAUGCCAAAUGUAUAUAUAAUUAGACACUUAGGAAAAAGUCAAGGAGCCUCGUGUUUAUCGUGCUGGCUCCGUCUCCUGCGCUUUUGGCACUGUGGUUUCUCAGCUGAGCUUCAGGCAGUUGCCUGGGCUGUUAAAUAGCCCUCACCAGGACAAGCAGCUGAGGAAUCCCUGCAGCUCAUUCUGCACUGUGCCGCUGGUGGGUAUUGCUCUUCCAGAGGGCUCAGUCCUCAGGAGGACAGGUUUUGAUGACCUAGUCUGAUUACAGCAUCUUUGACAGCUUUAAAGGAAUUUGCUCGAGGGAAGGCGACAGCUGCUGCUCUGAUGAAGGAUUUUUCUGAGCAGGCCUCCCAAGCAAGACAUGUCAGGAUGAGAUGCUGCCUACGCUUUUCAUCACAACCAACAGGUUGUUAAACUGCAAUCAAAAGCACUUAGUAGGAAUGGAUCUGUCCCUAUUAUGAGAUUUGAACUCCUGACAUCUUUAUCCAGUGGAACUUGAGUGCCCAGGUAACUACAAAUUAUUCAAGCAUUUACAACCAUUACUAUCAAUAUAAUUAACACACUGUGGAAAAAGCAGUGAGAACUGUACUAUUAAAUGACCAUUUCUAACAUUUAGAUAGCAAUCUUUUAUGAAAACAUUUAUAAGAUGCCUUAUUAUGCUUCAAUUAAAUGAGCAGAAAAAAAUGUUUACAUUUAAGGGGAACUGAAAAGAAGAGAUUUCUGGAGUUGAAAAUUAAAAUAUCCAUUGUUUGAAAACAAUGGGAAAAAACAGAUAGGACAACAUUUCUUAUGGGGGUUUCCAAGAUAAUCUCAAAAAAAUUUCAGAUCAAUUAUUUUAAAUACUAUGACCUCAUUUUCAACAAAAUCAGGUUCUGUAGAAAAGGCAGGAAUAAGGUUUGCCAUUCAGGUCUCAAAAAGCUUCUGAGCUCAUUUCCACUGUAUGCAGAAGAGGCUACAAAAACUUUUUAUGUGCCUUGAUGGACAACACUAGUAAAAAUGAAUGAGACAAUUUGUGUAGAGAAAUUGUGAGUGAGAUGAACGCUAGGCUUUGACUUCCCUCUUCCCACCUCCACCCAUUUUUCUGGCCACAGUAUGCACAUAAAUUCCUCCUAUUAAUUAGUAGGAAGUGAUUACAUCAAUGGGAACAAGAAGGAACCAGAGAAGCUAGGUACCAUGGUUUGGAAGGUUUUGUCACCCUUCUGUCUAGAAUCUACUGUCAGCAAAGUUUUGAAGAAAGAAUUUUCCCUACUGAAAGCUCAGCUUAGGUAUCUCAAAAAUAACUGCUGUGAAACACUUCCAGGACACAACCAAGAGGGGAUUCUGAGAUCGUUUUUCAACCCCUGCGACUGUGAGCCAGUUGCAGCAUGAGGAAAAGCCCUCCAACACCCCAAUGUACAGGAAAGAGAAGGUAAGGCAAUUCUCUUCAGGUAGCUUUUAGAUAUGGUGCAUUCAGUGAAGUGCCCCAGGCCAGCAAAAUGUGUCCACCUCCACGCUGACACUGCUUUCACUCCUGGAAAGGGCAAGGUUUGAGUACAGCAUCUCUUACAAUCACUGUAAUCUUAUGCAGAGACUAGUCCCUUCUGUCAAUAUAAGCUGCUUGCAACCCUCAUGCGACAAGGUGGGUGUAACAGAUUAAAACACUUGGGUCUUUCCUCCCACUCUGCAGCAAAAGUUCCCCUUGUGAAAGAACAAAUGCCAGUGUUAUUCCACAUGAGAUUCCAUCUGAGCUGGAAAAUAACACAAAAAUGUAGUUCUUUAGAUAUUUCACAGCAAAUAAAUAGCUCCAGGAAAAGAACAACAACAAAAAAGUUCAAGCUUGUGCUUGCAGAGACAGUAAACCACCAUAUUUCAGCAGUCAUGGCAGGUAAUUCUAGCUGGAAAUUGUAUAUUUAAUGAUGGCCAGCCUUCAGCAUUUGACAACAGACUAUUGAAGCCUGUUGAAUGGUAAAUCACCUCUCUUCAUUAUCAGUAAUCCUAUUAUAAUAUCUGUAGAAAUGUCUAAAGUUAAAAUCUCAUUUUAUUACUAUAAUAAUGGAUCUCAUUUGUAAAACAUAUGAAAUGAGGCCAUAACUGUACUGGAGGGAGAUAUAUGUGAACCCACUACAUCUAUAUCUACUUCCUGAUGGCUUUUGCCCACAUAUGCUCACAUUUUGAACAGGAGAAGAACUAAAAUAAAUGCCACUUGCAUGAUUUUUGGGAUUGGGUAUGGUUUUUAGAAAGGAAACCAACAUGAUCACAGAAAUGGAGUAAUCUCCACAAAAAAAGAACAGCCUUAAAUUUACAUUUAUGCAUAGGGAUAUGUAGGUGUUAAUCUGUGAUUUGCUCCAUUCAGCCCUUUCCAAUUGCCAGGAAAGCCCAGCUGCACAUCCACUAUUAUCACUACAUACUAUUUUUGGCUGCUGAGUACAUUUCAAGACACGUCAUCCUUCCCAAUCCAACACUUGCAUGAAGGGCAGAAACUCCUCUCUCCACUCCUCUGUCAUCUAUCACAGCUCCCAUCCCUUGGUGGCACUGCUGGCUCAGCCCUCCCUGCAGAGGGAUCUCCAGCAGUUUCUCCUCAAUCCUCACCAUUUCCUUGAAUGAGCUGCUUUCCAACUGAAGCUUCAUGCAGGAGGCUUCAUGAUAGCAUCCAGAGUACAUGUCCCAAGUAUGUCCAGCCCCAUCUUCUGAUCCUAGUGCAGAGCAGCUCCCGGUCUGAUGAUUAAGGUGUGCAUAUAGGAGAUGUGGGUUCGUAUUCCCUUGGACUUAGAUGCUGAAUCCAGAUCCCCUGUACUCUGCGUGUGUCUUCCAGCUUCUGAGUUGCUGGACAUAAAACCACAGAUUUCCACCAUUCUGCCCAUGAAGAUGACACAGAGAAGACAGAUGACAGUAGCUGUCCUCCUUCAAUACUGAGGAAAAGGCCACCUGUGGACCAGGCUGUGGGGGAAAAGCGGAAAGCAGAGAGAAGGGUUCGAUUUCGUGAGCCGGAAGAAGUCAUUGAGCAUGUUAUUUCCUGCUGUGACUACGUAGUGGUACAUGACAGGUCUUCACCUGGAUUGCCUAUGCUCCUGGGGCUAUCAUUUUGUGUGGUACUGAUCCUGGCUGCAAGUCUCUUCUACACCAGCAUGAAGCAAGAUACCAAAGUCCUGGAAGAGUUUCAAUCCCGACUUGUUAUCUUCUUUCUUCAGAUAAGACACAUUGCUCAUAGAUGCUGGACCUGGUUUACAAGGUAGUAGCAAUGUCCUCCAUUUGCAGGAAGGCAGCACUGAUAAUCACCACGUGUCAGAGAGAACCUCCCAGCCCCCUCAGUCCACACGUAAGGAACACGAGUAUCCACCUUGAAGAGCAAAAAAAGCCACCCAUUUUGUGCACUUUCUAACAUCUACUUGUUCUCUCUUUUUUUAAAUAUAUAUAUUUUUUAAUAUUUCUGAAUGAUAGUAGUAGCACUAAGAGGUCCCACCAAACUGAUGUUCCAUCACCCUUAGCAGCAAACAAGGGUAUGAGUUUAGUCCCCUGAAGAGACUAUAAACUGUUGCUAUAAGGAGCAGAGGCAGAGAGAGGAAUUCAUUGAUCUGUGCAUGCAGAAGUACAUUGAAUAGAAGUCUCCUGAGUCUCAGGUCAAAGAAUAAACACCAAACCAUUUUUCUCCUCAAGCCUCUUACGUGCUAUUCUGCAAAGUUUAACAUAAAGCUGAACUAUGGCACAAACACUGCUCCGCUGGCCAAAGGCUUGGCAAGCUGCUAUAUUUAUAUACUUGAAAUGAUUGCUAGUAAAAAUCUCAGCAAAUGGCUUUCUUGUUUCCCUUCAUGCAUUUUUUCCUCUGUGGGCAAAAGCUGUUCCUUAAUGUUUCACUUGACUCCCAGGUGUGAAAAAUAACGUGAGAACUCAUUUAAAUACUAAACAGUGCAUUUGCCUAACACAAUACAGGGCAGCAUUGAAUCCCAGGUUAAUUAUCAAAUCAGAACUUAAUCCUCUUGGUUUGAUUCAGUCCAUAAACCCAAGAUUUAUGGUUGUGUUUGUCUUCAGUCGAAGCUUUCACAUUUAUGCCUGCAUGUUCAAGGGUAUUAUAGACUGUUUACAAAGGUGUUGGGUCAAAGCCCUGUUAUCUCUGUUGUAGCACCAUACAGCGUACCUCUCUGGAGGGAACCAAGCAUAUGCAAUCUUAUGAGCUUCAGCUAUGCUUUGUUCUUAGAAUCACGUAAUUGCUCAGGUUGGAAAAGACCUUCAAGAUCAUGAAGUCAACCACAGACAGAAACAGCAUGAUCCAUUUUCCAGGCCCUACAUUCUUGUCGAGUAAUACUUGAUAUAUGCAUAAGGGUGACAGCAGAGCCCAUAGAAGCUGAAGAAAAGAAAGGAAACAGUGGAGAAGAGGAAAGAGAUGCCUGCAAGACCUUGGCUUUAACUCCUCUGCCACAGUAAUGCACCAGAAGGAAAAAAAAAAUUCCUAACCGACUUUCAAAAAAAGCAAGCUUGUCCAGGCUGCCCAAAAAUUUAAACCAGACAGAGGGUAAAAGAAAACCAAUUACAUAGCCUUCACCUAGAGCAGAGUGGGCAGCAAGUUGACCAAUAACGAGCACAAAAAUAUAUGUAUUUGUAGUCAGUAAGAACUGACUUGAGCAGCUAUUCUCAUGCUCUGAAGGCAACAGCAAUUGCACCUGGGGAGCUGCUGGUCUGGGACACACAGGGCACUGCAGGAGCGUUUGGCUCAGUGGCUCUUUAUGCAAACCACUCAUGCACCCCAGCCCUCAGGGUAAGUCCCCUGAGGCUUCCCUGCUCUCUCUCUCUCUCUCUCUCUCUCCACUCAGCCCACUGUUGGGAUAAUAAAGAAGAGGUUUUAAACUUAUGCUCUGGUGAAUCUAUGGUGGGAAGGUUUUUCCGGAAGAGUCAAUUCCUGCACUGCAAGUUGUGGUAUAUUGCAACAUAAAAAGGCAAAGCCUGACAGGAGCUGGAUCACUUAGAGGGAGAGCAGUACCACAAAUCCUUCCUGCGUGCUUCAAUGCAGUUUCAGUAACUUGAAAAGAAGCCAAGGGGUUAAAAUUAACCAGGAACUCCUUUUAGGACUGUGAGGGAUGAUAUGAAAUCCAUAUGCAUGUUAAUAUGCAUGGGGCCUCCUUCUUCUAGCCCUGCUCAAGGUGGAAAAUAGCCACGCUGACCUUGCUGUGCCCAGGUUUAUCAGUGUGAGAGGCCCACACUGAGAAUGGCUAUCACAUCCAGGUUGGCAAGGGAAAUAAAGCAGAGGAGCAGCUAUUCCUGGCUCUGGCUAGGACAGCUUUAGGCACAGGCAAUAGCAGCACUUGAGUUGUCUGCAGAUUCCCCAUGUUUUUGGGAGGCUUCCUGGGCUGGGAUUCUUUGCUGCGAUCAGUCAGGUAUUUGGCAAAAUGCAGAGAGCCAAAAGAAUGCAUUGUAGAGUACCAGCAGACAGCCUGAAACAAAUAAAAGCUAAAAUCUGUCCCUGGGAGAGCAGUGACCUUUUACAGCUGAAGAAUCUGCAGCUGAGAAAGCCAGUGCCUCUGUGCAAGUGAAUGAAGCAGGUCAAUAGCCAGGGUGGAAAUAGGAGUUAAAGUCCUGACCUCUAGGCCUGCCUUUAAUUACCAAUGCACAGCUCCACUGUAGACUUACCUGUUUUAUUUUCUCCUGGCACUGAAGCACUUGUCCCCUCAAACCAUUCUGCUUACACACAGCACCAUUCUCAUACUCUGUUCUUUAUCCAUCACACAUCUGUGCAUACUGCUGUGAGUCAGAGAGGAUUUCUCCUUGCUCUUGCUCAACACUGCUUUCUUAGGUGUGACACCUUGGUGAGUUUGGAGAAGAUGACCUCUGAAUUUAUACAGAAUGGGUUGUGUUGGUUACUGUUUCCCUUGCAGGCUGUGCUGGGUAAUAUUUUCCUCCAGUAUGACUCCCGAGAAUUGCUUUAUAAGGAGGAAAACAAACGGAGAGGGAUGUAAUAAUGAUAAUGUAAUAAAUGGUCAAACGUUCACAUGAAUUCACUGCGGUGCCAACAUGAAGACUAACUAAAACUCAGCUAUCUCUGAGCAAUUAUUUAGUCUAUCGUGGAAAUGUCAUUUUUUUUCAUCAAGUUGCAGAGAGGAGCGACAGACUCUUGCAGCAAGUUUUGAAGAAGGCUGCAAAUAAGUAGGCUUGCUAUGAGCACUGUCUGGAUUGGUAAGAAUCCAAGGGACAGAAGAGAGCAGAGAGUUCUGUGCACGAAAAGAGGCCUAAGGGCAGAAGUGCUCCUUACUAUCCUUUAUGCAAUGGGUGUUAAAUUCAUGCAUAGCAGGAAUCAGCAGAUCAUGGCAGUGUUGUUCUGACAAUGUGCAGUGCAUUCCUGCAGCAGAAACAGAGGGCAGCUGCCAGCACCCUCUUCAGGCAGGCUCACCCCAUCAGCACCACCUGAUUGCAUUAGCUGGCAUAGCCAUUCCCAUAUGAUUACAGGAUGUAGAAAAGCACACAGUGAGAUGACACUAGAUUUUUUGUGUGUUAACCUCUUAACACACUUUGCAUUCAUGUUUGCAGCUCCAAAGUCUGCUUCUAGUCCUGCUCUACUGCUUCACCUCUCCAGCACUGUGAGUCUGGAAACAAGUUAAGGAGCACAAGCAGUCUGUGGUAGCAAUUUUAGUUGUUUCUGCCUUUUACCACUUCAAAGCAAGCGGAAGGUUGGCAGCAUGUGACUACACAAAAAAAAGAAAAGCAUUGCAGCUACCCUAAAGAAAUAGCUCAGGAGCCUCCAAGAUUAUAGAGUGGACUCCUUUCUCACUAUUUCUUUCUCCACAGUGGCUGUUGGGAUUUAGUCUCACUCCUGGAGAGAAAGGCUGCUGCUACAGGAAGAAAAUUAGUCAGUUGACAAUUAGAAGAUUAACCUGCCCAUGCAACCUGUAAUAGCCCUUUACACUUGGUAACAAGCUGACCUUCAGCCACAUCCUGACACAGGAUCUUCUUCUCUUUGCCUUCUUUAGCAUUAGAGUUCACUGCUGGAAGAUGGUGAAAGGGCUCAGCUUAGGAGGUUGGUCACAUCCUUGACCAUAGGAGCUGCAGCAAGGAGAUUCCAAGGAAUGACUGCAUAAACCAGGAUUACACCAGUAACUCUGGUAACCAUUUUUUAACCAACAUAGUAAUAAUUUCAAUUCACCCUCAAAAAAAAAGGCACAGAAAUACUAACUUUUCAAAUAGUUUAUUUGUAUAUAUCAACAAAUCAUAAAAAGCCAAUGCACUGUCCAGCAAAAAGCAUCAAUAUAUAAAACACAUUUAAUCGUUAUCAGUAAUACUUGAGUAUACCACUUACACUGAGCCCAGUCCAGCUCCCUACUAAAGCCAAAGGAAACAUUGUCAAUGACUCCGUUAGCAGAAGGAUUGGACUUGCAAUUUCUAUUUGCCAGGUGUUUACAAAUGCUUGCAUUAAAAUACUAGUAUAAAGUUUCCCCUUUGAGACUGUAUCAAAACAACGAUAAGUUUAACUCCAAUUCUGUUUCUGUCAAAUGCAUGCAAUUAAUGCUCCAGAUCAGCACUCGUUACACUGCAGGAGAGCAUACAAAGCAUGAGAAAGAAUAUUCAAAACAGAGCAAGCUCUACCCUCAGCUUGUGUGGACUGGCAUGGCUCCAACGAGGCUUACAAAGCUAAGCUGCAUACACCAGCUAAAGAUCUGUCCCAAUCCUACUUUCAGCAGUUAAACAAAUUGUCAAAGUCUGGAGACCUCAAAAACAAAUUAUGAAACACUGAGUGGUCCAAGCUAAGGCUGAAACUGGCAUCAGCACUGCCAGCCCAGGCUCUGCCACACUGGACCCCUCACAUCACAGCCUGAAUGCUGAAGUCCCUCACAGGAAGAACACUAACAGUUCUCAUUAUCUAUUUUUAUUCUGACUUACGGCACUCUCCUACCCCCUUUUUGCUAUCCUUGUUCCUGAUAGGAAGAGAUGUGAGAAACAAGGCCUGAUUAGCCUGGUGGCAAUAAAACUCUGUAACGUUUCCAAGAGUGUUUUUAGAGAAGAAAGGAUUCAGGGGAAGGAGAUGUCAGUGGAACUGGAUUAUUUUUCUUUAUAAACCUGCAAAAAAAACCUUUUAGCAGUACACUUCAAAUCAUGAUAUAUUCAUUUCUCAAGAGAGCUGAAAAAGAGCGGUAGUUUUAUUCAGGGAGUAUUUGACAAAAAUCUCUAAUGGCACCAAUUUACUGUGGAUGUGAUCCCACUGCAGUCUUGUGGUCACCGACCAAAAGGGCGGUUUACAUCUCCUAAAAAACACUGGUUUGAGGAGACUGACAGCAGCUUUAGAAGCCAAAUGGUGACCACACCGAGCAGUGAGGAUUUAAAUCAUUGCAGCAGUCUAGAAAGUGGCAAUGGUUAAUUAACAUGAAGAUCCAGUGUGCUACAGGAGGAUGUGUGGUAUCUCAGACACAGACUGUUGCACUUUGCAGUGUUAACAGGAAAAAAGUAAUUCCUUCUGCUGUGGGACUGAGUGGGUGAAGAGCUCUGGACUGUGUUGUGUGGGAUACUAUGACAGAGUAUUUUCAAACAUCUCCCUGCUUUAGAAUCUAUGGAUUAACGUAUCACUCAUCUGAUUCCACCAGGUUGCUUAAGGGAAUCCUGGCAACCAACUUUGGGAAUCUUUUAGAGCAACGUGUCAGCCAAAUCAGGCCUGGUUUGUGUAAAAGGAAGAGUUUGGCACCAAACCUCAGGGAGUCCAAAUGAGAAUAGCAAAAAAAAACUGAAAUGCUUUUUAUUUCUCUAACAAAUGGCAAAGUUUGCCAUAGGAGCUGCAAUUUCUCUUACAUUCAUAAAUACUGUUCAGAAGCUGUACACAAACUGGAGUCAAACAUGCACAGACGUGGGGGGAAAGGAGGGGAAAAUAAGGACUUUCACCACAGGGUCAUAUAUCCACUUGUGUAAGAAAUCACUCAAGAGGGCAACAGCAAUGAUGAAUUUUCAUUCCUACCUCCUGGCAGGGCAUCUCCACCCUCUCUUUACACCAUAGACAUGUGGAAAGGAGGAACAAGAAUACCUCAGACUACAUUUCCACAAUAA